This 1729-nucleotide ribosomal RNA is filed under the name Salmonella enterica subsp. enterica serovar Typhimurium. RNAcentral's name for it is "partial 23S ribosomal RNA". It matches the Rfam family "Bacterial large subunit ribosomal RNA", at positions 830 to 2455 of the family's 2925-position model. Lineage: Bacteria; Pseudomonadati; Pseudomonadota; Gammaproteobacteria; Enterobacterales; Enterobacteriaceae. The record is from RNAcentral.
CAAUCAAACCGGGAGAUAGCUGGUUCUCCCCGAAAGCUAUUUAGGUAGCGCCUCGUGAAUUCAUCUCCGGGGGUAGAGCACUGUUUCGGCUAGGGGGCCAUCCCGGCUUACCAACCCGAUGCAAACUGCGAAUACCGGAGAAUGUUAUCACGGGAGACACACGGCGGGUGCUAACGUCCGUCGUGAAGAGGGAAACAACCCAGACCGCCAGCUAAGGUCCCAAAGUCAUGGUUAAGUGGGAAACGAUGUGGGAAGGCCCAGACAGCCAGGAUGUUGGCUUAGAAGCAGCCAUCAUUUAAAGAAAGCGUAAUAGCUCACUGGUCGAGUCGGCCUGCGCGGAAGAUGUAACGGGGCUAAACCAUGCACCGAAGCUGCGGCAGCGAACGUAUCACCCAAGACAACUUUACGGAGUUGACGAUUGACGGAGCGAAGCGACGUCAAAGCGUUCAUUAAAGUCGAGUUGGCUUAGGGAUACGUUCGUUGGGUAGGGGAGCGUUCUGUAAGCCUGUGAAGGUGUGUCGUGAGGCAUGCUGGAGGUAUCAGAAGUGCGAAUGCUGACAUAAGUAACGAUAAAGCGGGUGAAAAGCCCGCUCGCCGGAAGACCAAGGGUUCCUGUCCAACGUUAAUCGGGGCAGGGUGAGUCGACCCCUAAGGCGAGGCCGAAAGGCGUAGUCGAUGGGAAACGGGUUAAUAUUCCCGUACUUGGUGUUACUGCGAAGGGGGGACGGAGAAGGCUAUGUUGGCCGGGCGACGGUUGUCCCGGUUUAAGCGUGUAGGUGUGUGUUCCAGGUAAAUCCGGUUCACUUUAACACUGAGGCGUGACGACGAGGCACUACGGUGCUGAAGCAACAAAUGCCCUGCUUCCAGGAAAAGCCUCUAAGCAUCAGGUAACAUCAAAUCGUACCCCAAACCGACACAGGUGGUCAGGUAGAGAAUACCAAGGCGCUUGAGAGAACUCGGGUGAAGGAACUAGGCAAAAUGGUGCCGUAACUUCGGGAGAAGGCACGCUGACACGUAGGUGAAGUGAUUUACUCAUGGAGCUGAAGUCAGUCGAAGAUACCAGCUGGCUGCAACUGUUUAUUAAAAACACAGCACUGUGCAAACACGAAAGUGGACGUAUACGGUGUGACGCCUGCCCGGUGCCGGAAGGUUAAUUGAUGGGGUCAGCGCAAGCGAAGCUCCUGAUCGAAGCCCCGGUAAACGGCGGCCGUAACUAUAACGGUCCUAAGGUAGCGAAAUUCCUUGUCGGGUAAGUUCCGACCUGCACGAAUGGCGUAAUGAUGGCCAGGCUGUCUCCACCCGAGACUCAGUGAAAUUGAACUCGCUGUGAAGAUGCAGUGUACCCGCGGCAAGACGGAAAGACCCCGUGAACCUUUACUAUAGCUUGACACUGAACAUUGAGCCUUGAUGUGUAGGAUAGGUGGGAGGCUUUGAAGUGUGGACGCCAGUCUGCAUGGAGCCGACCUUGAAAUACCACCCUUUAAUGUUUGAUGUUCUAACGUGGACCCGUAAUCCGGGUUGCGGACAGUGUCUGGUGGGUAGUUUGACUGGGGCGGUCUCCUCCUAAAGAGUAACGGAGGAGCACGAAGGUUGGCUAAUCCUGGUCGGACAUCAGGAGGUUAGUGCAAUGGCAUAAGCCAGCUUGACUGCGAGCGUGACGGCGCGAGCAGGUGCGAAAGCAGGUCAUAGUGAUCCGGUGGUUCUGAAUGGAAGGGCCAUCGCUCAACGG